ACACAUGCAGUCGAGCGAUGAAGUUUCUUCGGAAAUGGAUUAGCGGCGAACGGGUGAGGAACACGUGAAGAAUCUGCCCUCCACUUUGGGAUAACACCGGGAAACCGGUGCUAAUACCGAAUAUUGAAACAUAAGUGGCAUCACUGAGUUUUGAAAGAAUUUCGGUGGAGGAUGACUUCGCGGCCUAUCAGCUAGUUGGUGAGGUAAUGGCUCACCAAGGCAACGACGGGUAGCCGGCCUGAGAGGGCGACCGGCCACACUGGGACUGAGACACGGCCCAGACUCCUACGGGAGGCAGCAGUGGGGAAUAUUGGGCAAUGGAGGAAACUCUGACCCAGCGACGCCGCGUGCGGGAUGAAGGCCUUCGGGUUGUAAACCGCUUUCAGUAGGGAAGAAGCGAAAGUGACGGUACCUACAAAAGAAGCACCGGCUAACUAUGUGCCAGCAGCCGCGGUAAUACAUAGGGUGCAAGCGUUGUCCGGAAUUAUUGGGCGUAAAGAGCUCGUAGGUCGUUUGUUACGUCGGAUGUGAAAACCUGAGGCUCAACCUCAGGCCUGCAUUCGAUACGGGCAAACUAGAGUUUGGUAGGGGAGACUGGAAUUCCUGGUGUAGCGGUGGAAUGCGCAGAUAUCAGGAGGAACACCAAUGGCGAAGGCAGGUCUCUGGGCCAAUACUGACACUGAGGAGCGAAAGUCUGGGGAACGAACAGGAUUAGAUACCCUGGUAGUCCAGACCGUAAACGGUGGGCACUAGUUGUGGGAACCUUCCACGGUUUCUGCGACGCAGCUAACGCAUUAAGUGCCCCGCCUGGGGAGUACGGUCGCAAGAUUAAAACUCAA
RNAcentral lists this ribosomal RNA (839 nucleotides) under uncultured bacterium. RNAcentral describes it as "SSU rRNA". It matches the Rfam family "Bacterial small subunit ribosomal RNA", at positions 51 to 904 of the family's 1533-position model. The record is from RNAcentral.